GAUGAACGCUGGCGGCGUGCCUAAUACAUGCAAGUCGAGCGAACAGACGAGGAGCUUGCUCCUCUGACGUUAGCGGCGGACGGGUGAGUAACACGUGGAUAACCGACCUAUAAGACUGGGAUAACUUCGGGAAACCGGAGCUAAUACCGGAUAAUAUAUUGAACCGCAUGGUCCAAUAGUGAAAGACGGUUUUGCUGUCACUUAUAGAUGGAUCCGCGCCGCAUUAGCUAGUUGGUAAGGUAACGGCCUACCAAGGCAACGAUGCGUAGCCGACCUGAGAGGAGGAGCAGUCACACUGGAACUGAGACACGGGCCAGACUACUACGGGAGGCAGCAGUGGGGAAUAUUGGACAAUGGGCGAAAGCCUGAACCAGCCAUGCCGCGUGAGUGAAGAAGGUCUUCGGAUUGUAAAGCACUUUAAGUAGGGAGGAAGAGCAGUAAGGUAAUACCUUGAUGUUUUGACGUUACCAACAGAAAAAGCACCGGCUAGCUUCGUG
Molecule: ribosomal RNA, 497 nt
Filed under: uncultured bacterium
Lineage: Bacteria
Description: partial 16S ribosomal RNA
Rfam family: Bacterial small subunit ribosomal RNA
Source: RNAcentral